GUGGGACGAACUGCAGCUCCUCUCUGGGCCUUGGCCCAUCGGUACACAGCCGCCUAGGGAAAAAACGGCCGCUUCUGUGCAGGCAUCCAGCACCAGCGCGGAGCUGAGGUCUCCUCGCCCACCCUAUUUGCAUAACGCGGGCUCAAGCCCCCGGGCCCGCGCUCAGACAGGAGCGCCCUGGCACCCCUAGGCUCAGGGCCCGCCCCGGACGCCCCGUCCCGCCCACUCCGUGAGAAGCACCGGCUGAGAGGUGAGGACAGGUGCUCCCGCAGGGCGCCGCCAGCCCUCCCUGAAGCCGCUGUCCAGCCCGCGGUGCUGAAGCGUCCUGAACCCUGCCGCCAGAGAACAGGGCAGGCCCCGCCUGGAGCUGCCAUUCCCAACUCCGCAGACUCCAAGUCUCGCCCACGCUGGCCUAAUAAUCUGCAAAGAUGCUUGUUUGCCUCGGCAGGUUUAAACUGGAAUCGCCUCCGAGAUCCGAGCUUCCCUGAGGAGCCACACGAAGGGCCACCGUUUGUCCAGGAGCCACACGCCUUGGGAGAAUGGACAGUACUGAAUUCCUGUGCUCCAUCCUGGAACCAGCAGGCGUUCACGCACUAUGGACAUCUCCACUGCCCGCUCCUGACUUGUCCCAUGAGUUGUGUGGGAAGACUGAGCCCAGGGAAGGAUCCACUCACUUUUCAGGAACUCAAUUCUUCCCACCUGUAUCCAAACCCGGCAGGCCCUGCUACCUGAGGGAGGUGGGGUGAGACAAUCCCUGGAAUUCCUCCCAUACACAUUCCCCACAGUUAAGAUGUCUCUCCCUCCACUCUGGAUGACCCUCAAAUUCUGUGGAUGCCCACAACCCCUUCCCCCGACCCAGUGACCAGACAGGCAGGAGAGAUCAAUGUUCCCAGAGAAGAGCUCUGCAACCUGGAGUCUAGAAUCUUGUUCUUGGAGGAGUAAAUGACAUGGUUGCCCAAUGAGUUGAACAUAAUCAUGAUGGCAGAGAUAUUGGGCAGCAAGAAGAAGCUGGGUACAGGUCCUGGGGCAGAAAUUAGUCCAGAAAAAAGAGGCCAGUAGAAUGCCAGCAUGAGCAGCCAGAUGGCUGCACUGGUGCCCAGGACCAAGCCCACACUGGACCUACCAUGCCUUGGCUUGCCCCAGGACCCCAUGGGUGACCAUCAUGGCAGCCCGGGGCCCAGUUGUACCUUCUUAGCAUCAGCCAAGGCUCAGUUCAGGCUAGGAGAAAGAUGAGUCACCAGUCAAGGAAAAAGGGUUUUGAGAGGGCACUCCAGAGGAG
RNAcentral lists this long non-coding RNA (1279 nucleotides) under Equus caballus (horse). Its description in RNAcentral is "lncRNA (ENSECAG00000046846.1)". Lineage: Eukaryota; Metazoa; Chordata; Mammalia; Perissodactyla; Equidae. The record is from RNAcentral.